GCAUCGAUGAAGAACGCAGCGAAAUGCGAUACUUGGUGUGAAUUGCAGAAUCCCGUGAACCAUCGAGUCUUUGAACGCAAGUUGCGCCCGAUGCCAUUAGGUUGAGGGCACGUCUGCCUGGGCGUCACAUAU
Molecule: ribosomal RNA, 132 nt
Filed under: Trifolium environmental sample
Lineage: Eukaryota; Viridiplantae; Streptophyta; Magnoliopsida; Fabales; Fabaceae
Description: partial 5.8S ribosomal RNA
Rfam family: 5.8S ribosomal RNA
About the family: 5.8S ribosomal RNA (5.8S rRNA) is a component of the large subunit of the eukaryotic ribosome. It is transcribed by RNA polymerase I as part of the 45S precursor that also contains 18S and 28S rRNA.
Source: RNAcentral